Molecule: ribosomal RNA, 438 nt
Filed under: Corynebacterium jeikeium
Lineage: Bacteria; Bacillati; Actinomycetota; Actinomycetes; Mycobacteriales; Corynebacteriaceae
Description: bacterial SSU rRNA
Rfam family: Bacterial small subunit ribosomal RNA
Source: RNAcentral
GGCGGCGUGCUUAACACAUGCAAGUCGAACGGAAAGGCUCCUUGCUUGCAAGGGGUACUCGAGUGGCGAACGGGUGAGUAACACGUGGGUGAUCUGCCUUGCACUUCGGGAUAAGCCUGGGAAACUGGGUCUAAUACCGGAUAGGACCAUGCUUUAGUGUGUGUGGUGGAAAGUUUUUCGGUGCAAGAUGAGCCCGCGGCCUAUCAGCUUGUUGGUGGGGUAAUGGCCUACCAAGGCGACGACGGGUAGCCGGCCUGAGAGGGUGUACGGCCACAUUGGGACUGAGACACGGCCCAGACUCCUACGGGAGGCAGCAGUGGGGAAUAUUGCACAAUGGGCGCAAGCCUGAUGCAGCGACGCCGCGUGGGGGAUGACGGCCUUCGGGUUGUAAACUCCUUUCGCUAGGGAAGAAGCCACUUUGUGGUGACGGUACCUGGA